CGAUUCUCGUCGGUGGUAAGAAGCGGGAACGAAACAGCUGGUUUAGAAUUGAGAGAAAAGAAAAUUUUGUAGGAGGAAAUGCUUACAAGUUGACCACCUUAGCCGGAACCAUUGGAACCAUCCCAGGGCCUUGGGAAAAUGCACCACAACUAGUUCUCACCAAUGAUACUGCUAAGACCUUCCUCGUCAAAUUCCACAAAGUUCAUGGUGAUACUACGGCUACUACAUCUACUUCACGUCUGGAGAAGUUAGGUCUAGGGAUGUUCCCAUUCUACUAGUCAACAAGCUAAGAAUCAUGUAAUGUAAAGCCUGGCCUAAAGUAAUGGGUUGAGAUAAUACCCUCAUGCAUGUACCUGAAUUUCCAUAAAUAAAACAAAACUAUGUUUGCCAAAAAGAGACACAACUUUUCAUCAAAGCAAUGGAUUAAAAAAAUACACAAAUUCUUUCCAUAUCCUUUUUCCUUAUACAUAACUAAUCAAAGUUUAAUUGAACAUCCAAAAUAAAUAAGAAGUCAGUUGUAUAUUUGAAUUUGGCUUUUGAAACACAAUUUAUAAAGGACCUUGAGAUAUUUUCUCAGGUUUGGGCUUAACUCAAGUUUCCAUUCGAUUGAGAUCGUAAUAUUUCACUAUAUAUAACAGUUUGAGAUUCUAUCAGCUUUAUGUUAGUUGGGAUCCUGGGGACGUUUAUAGUUCCAAUAAACAAGAAGAGCUUCCAACUUCGAAUCCAAAACCUGUUAGUGAAAUUGUAAACUAAUGCUUUUCGCAUGAGUGAAUAAAACCCACUGAGAAUACAAAACUGAAAAUUCGUCCUGUUGUAGGGGAAAGGUCUUAACUUUUUUGGUAAAGUCAUUGGAAAGAGAUCAUAAGGAUCGAAAACAAACACAAAAAACAAAUUUCUCUAGCAUCAAAUAAAUAAUACAUAUAUGCAUGAUAAUUUGUCACCGAAUGUUGUCUGGUCUUUUUUUUUUACCUAGAUGAGUUCGGUGUUGAUAUAAUACUGAAUGAGAUAGACAAUCUUGAGGUUUAGAGCGAUCAUGAGAAUAAACAUAUUGUGUUCAGUAUAACCGAUGGAGAAAGUGCUGACUAUUUCGUGACAAGUUGGUUUAGACUUGUAGCCGAAGCUAAGAACCUCACCAUAAGAGCACAGGUCAAUCAUGGCCUUACAUUCAUUGCAUUAAAUUGAUAGAACUAAUUUGUUGAACUUAGUUCAUAAUCCAUCGAAAAGUAAUACUAUAGGAUAUCGAAAAACAGUUUUUAUAAUAAAAAUAUCAUACAAAGAGAAACAUGAGUGGAAUAAUAUUCAUUAUAUGAUAAAGCAUAUAUAAUUAGGGUUAUAGGGGCUUAGCGUUUAAAAGUUAGAAUUUAUGGUAAUAAUUUCUUUAAAUAAAUCUAUUUUGUUAAUAUUUCAAGAAUAUUUUUUAUAUUAAAUGAAUUAUAGAUAACUUAGUUUUUCCAGAUUACUAUUUAUUUAUAUGUUAUUUUUAUAGUAAAAAAAUAUUUUUUCUGCUCUUUAGGAGAAUUGCUCAAUUUUUCAUGUCUGUGUAUUUUGCAAAGUGGUCCAGUAGCGCAAACUCUAUUUUGAGAAACUCUAAAAAAGUCAAAGAUAUUUUCCAAUUUUAAAAAUUAUUAAAUAAAUACUGAAAGAAUAAUUAUAAUAAUAAUUGAUCAUAUAAUUUAAAUUCAAGAGUAUCUAUAUAUUUUCUGAUGAAAAUUUUAUGUGUAUGAUACAUAAAAUUCAUUUUCAAAUAAUAGUUUCUUAGUUUUUCUUAUACAAAAUAUCAUUGGGCAUUGUACGAAGUUUCUUAGUUUGGAUUUACCAGACUUAUCACUUAUUUAUUUUCUAGUAAAAUAAAAAAUCGUGGUAGACAUCAUUUUUAUUUUGUCUGGUAUGGUGUUUUAAAUUGACAAAAAAAAAUUUAAAAAAAAAUUGACAGAAAAAGUUGGAAGCAGAAAUAAGAUAUCUAGGGAAUCAUUUUUCUGCUUCCAAAAUUUUUAGUUGUCAAUAUAUUAUGGGUGCACGUGUCCCCAUUGUUAUUGUCCUGGCUUGGCCACUGUCUAUACAUUCAUUGGUUGUUCAGUAUAGUCUCUUUCUGUUUGAAAUCUUGCCUGGUUCUCAGGAAUUACUUGAUCAUCCUUUAUAAGUUAGUUACAACGGACCAUUUUGCAUGUUCCUCGUGCUGAAAAUCAAAGUUUGAUUCGGUUAACCUAUGUAGUAAAUUUUCAAUAAAUAUCUAUAUAGAAAUGAGAGACAAUCUUUUCUUUUUUACCGUCACACACGGGCAUAUAAUUUAACCGCAGAAGUUUCCUAUAAAUAUUGGUGCAACGUUUCUGCUCUCUACAGCUUAACUCAAAAGGAAACACACACAAAUAUUAAUCAAAAUGAUGUCAUCAUUCCCAUUGGUCUCCUUUCUCAUCACUCUCAUGUUGGCUUCAGCCGUAUGCACCCACGGGGAAAAUCGCGUGAAUGACACCGACGGAAAUCCACUUCGGACGACUGCACAAUACUUGAUCCUACCACUCUCCCCGAGGAGUAACGGAGGUGGUCUUCUCCCAGUCCCCGUUAAACUACAGCCCCUUUGUCCACUUGGCAUCAGCCAAUCCUCGGUUAAGGCCUUAACAGGCCUACCGGUUAGCUUCUCAUAUCCAUACGCGAUCAUGGACACAUAUGUUAACGAAAUGGAAGCUAUAAACAUCGAGUUCAAGUCAGACGCAUGGCCGGGCUGCGAGGAGUUUUCCAAGUACUGGGAAGUCGAUGAAUCCUCAUCGGCUUCAGAGGAGCCUGCGAUUCUCGUCGGUGGUAAGAAGCACGAACGAAACAGCUGGUUUAGAAUUGAGAGAAAAGAACCUUUUUACGGAGGAGUUGCUUACAAGUUGACCACCUUAACCGGAACCAUUGGAACCGUCCCAGGCCAUUGGGACCAAGCACCACAACUAGUUCUCACCAAUGAUACUGCGAAGACCUUCCUCGUCAAAUUCCACAAGGUUCAUGGUGAUACUCCGGCUACUACUUCACGUCAGGAGAAGUUAGGUCUAAGGAUGUUCCCUUUCU
Molecule: long non-coding RNA, 3048 nt
Filed under: Brassica rapa (field mustard)
Lineage: Eukaryota; Viridiplantae; Streptophyta; Magnoliopsida; Brassicales; Brassicaceae
Description: long non-coding RNA (BRAP_LNC001058)
Source: RNAcentral